RNAcentral lists this unclassified non-coding RNA (369 nucleotides) under uncultured Ascomycota. Its description in RNAcentral is "sequence contains ITS2". The stretch from base 1 to 154 matches the Rfam family "5.8S ribosomal RNA". Lineage: Eukaryota; Fungi; Ascomycota. The record is from RNAcentral.
AACUUUCGGCAACGGAUCUCUUGGUUCUGGCAUCGAUGAAGAACGCAGCGAAAUGCGAUAAGUAAUGUGAAUCGCACAAUUCAGUGAAUCAUCGAAUCUUUGAACGCACAUUGCGCCCCUUGGCAUUCCGAGGGGCAUGCCUGUUCGAGCGUCAUUUCAACCCUCAAGCUCGGCUUGGCGUUGGGCACCACCAGCCAGGUGUGCCUCAAAACCAGUGGCGGUGCCGUCUGGCUCUAAGCGUAGUAGUGACCCUCUCGCUAUAGGGACCUGGCGGAUGCCUGCUAUAAACCCCCCAUGUUUCUAUCAAAGGUUGACCUCGGAUCAGGUAGGGAUACCCGCUGAACUUAAGCAUAUCAAUAAGCGGAGGCU